UUCGUCCAUUAGCUUGAAUGUCCAUUUGUGGAUAAAUUAGACAUUGAAGAUCAAAAACAUUAAAAUAAAUGUUGUUUGUUAAGUCUUAAUUUAUAAGAUUACUGUUUUAAAAAUGUCACGUUCAAAAUGAAUAUUUCCAUAAUAGAAUAGAACUUUAGGUGGGUUCUGAUAGUUCUGUAAAUUAUAAAUUAAAUACUUUUAAAAUAUGAAGUAUAUGAAAUAAUAAGUAUAUAUUUGUUUAAAUAUCUAUUCUUCAUUAAUAUGCACAAAUCUAUAGUACAUAAUACAUAAUAUGAUUUGUGCAGUCAUCGAUAUUGAUUAUAUCAAAAUUCAUACUUCUUAAUUUUUGGAUGAGAAAUAUGAAUAUAAUUUUGUAUCUAAUAUUCUAAUUAUAUUAUAAUAUAUAUUUUUUGUAGAGACCUUUGGUAAGUAUAUUUUAUGUUUAAUGUCAUAUUUUUACUUUCCAUCUCGUGAGAUGGCCAGAUGACAAAUUAAAUAUUGUUGUUAACUUAUAUACUGUAUUGAAGGGAUGUGUACACAAAAUUUUUUAUUGAAUUGUUGAAUGUGUUGUAUAUAACACUGCUAACGAAUGACGUAUGACGUUUACAGCAUCACAUUUUUGGCUUAGACCUAAUAUUACAAACGCAUAACUUAUAUGAAUGUUUUUCUAAAGAAAACACAUUUUCAUAAUCCAUAUAACUAGGUAGUCGUUAUAUGUUCUUUCAGAAUAAUGUUAUCUUUCUAUUAUGUAUUAAUAAUGGUGUCUAUACUUAUCGAUCUUGUCCAAAAGUACCUUACAUUACAGUUGUACAUAUCCACAUAUCGUUUUGAAUUUUUCAGAAAUGACGUUUUCAUUUAUUUGUUUGAUUUACAAUAGGCCCCAUAAUUAGUAUAAUAAAUUAAUUAUUAUAGAUUAGAGUAACAUUUUAUAAAAGUCUGAUACAUUUUUUUCCCCAGCAAAAUCUAGAUAACUCUUUAAACAUAAUGUAAUUUAUAUUGAACACUAUUCCAAUGAAUUAAACAUUAUAAUUUUCAGUGAAUUAUACAAACGAAAAUCUAUUUGUGGGUAAGAAACAUAAUUGAAUAUUUUUUAUAAUGACUUAUAAUUGUUACGGAGCGUCGGGGACGACGUUCCGGAUCGUGAAAUAAUUAAAAUGUACGUAUUUUGUAGGUAAUUUACGACGCUAUUAAAACGUUCCUAUAUUUUGGUAUAAAAUAUAAACAUAUACAUAUAAAUAAGGGCUGAGUAAAGCGUCGGCUUGCUCUGACCAGACUUGGAAAAAGUGAGUAGGAACAGUCGGUAGUGCUUAGAGUUAGUCGGGCCGAGGCCGGGCUCUAAUUACAAUAGUCGGGAAGAUCAAGUGUUGCGUACAUUUGCAGUUAUCGGUUUGGGGUUUAACCGUCGCCGGUACAAGCUUAAUUAAGCUGGUACUCCGGUGACGAGUUGAAUCCGGGAAGGUCAACUUGAACAAGUGCCUUAAUGCUUGGGGAGCAACGAGUUACGGCCGAGGUUGGGUCAGGUCGUCGUCUACGUGGUUUUUCCCGAGUGUGUUGGAACCGUUCCUCUGGAUCCGUCUGAUCGGGUGGCUAAUAGUAUUUCCGGGCGCCUUGGUGCUUCAUGGGCUAGUGGUGAUCCGUGCCACUCCGGGCAGGUGGCGUGUGGGCUUCCCGGGUCCUUGAUCGAUGGUGUUCACUUUACUCAGAGGUCUGACUUCGGGUCGUGUGUCAUCCGUCGCCAAUCGAACGUUGAGUUCGGAGCUGUCCGCCGAUCGAAGGUACGUGGGUUGCCGUGGACUGUCGACCGCGAUUACACUUCGAGAACGUUCGCUAAAUAAAGUUAUUUAGUAAUCGAUUAACCCUGAGAGGUGUAACCCGGGAGAAAACGCCGUGCGAUGUGGUUCUAUCGUCACGAGUGAUCGCGGCGUCGGGCCGUGUAGAUUCGUCGUAGUCGGCGUAGGGCCGGUGGGUGCCGUCAGUUGCACGUCGCGGACUGUGCUGGAUAACCGUAACAGCGGCGUGUUGAUUUUCUGCUGCGGUGGCGAUUCCGGACCUCUGAUUGGCUGAUCAAUAUCGCUUAUAAAUUCGUCGCGGCGGCUGGUGUCUUCGUAAGUCUUCCUUCUUAAAAUUCAAUUCAGUCUGUAUAGUUUGAUUGAAGUCUUGAGAUUUAAUGUGGAAGUGGAAGAAAUUGGUUUCAUCGACGGCGGAAUGCCGGUAACACAUUACCGUACCGACUAGUAAACGGUUUGUGUAUUCGGUUUAGCCGGCGUUUGGUUGCGUCUACGUUUCCGGUGAUAUCUUCUCUCCCUUUGUUCCGAUUAGGUCGUGAGUGGUGUCUAUGGAUAGCUAUUUUUAUCUCCUAUCCGAUGAUCCCACCCUUGACCUCGUUACUUUUUGUGUUUGUCCUCGUUUUUCUCCUUUCCUCUCCUUCAGACUGUCUCACAUCUUCUGUCUUAUGUUGGUGGCAGUGUUUUCCUCUUUUUGUGAAUUUUGCAAUACCUCUGGAUAGGUAUUUUCCUUCCUUAUCCAUUGAUAUCACCCCCGCCAUUGUAAGUUGUAUUCUGGUUAUUGUUUUUAAUGUUUUCUUAAUAACGGCCUGUGAUUGGUUGUUAUUUGUCCAUGUAUUUGUCGGUCCUGAGAAGGACCGUUUUAAUUAUGUAUGUGUAAUAAAUGUUCUGUAACAUAAUUCAUUUUUGUUUGAAAGUUUCUUGGUAAAUUUACAAAAGCGAUAUUUUUAUUUAUUUUUUUUACAUUGUUUUUUAAUCAAUUGGAAAUCAUAUAAAAUACAAUUUUCAAAUCUGUAACACUUUUUAGAAAUAUACGUUAUAAAAGCAAUAAAUUAUAGGAGAGUGUGGAUUUUCACAAAUGUACCUAUAGUUUUUAGGUCAGCUACGUACUUGCGAUAGGUGCAAAUAAAUUUUGCUCACCUAAUCUAACCAAAUUAAAAUGAUUCUUUUAAACUCGUAUGUUCUAAAAUAUGUCUUAUUUCUUAAUAUCUGUUGGAAUGAAUUUGAGCAUAGUGUAUGGACUAAAAAUAUUAUAUUUUAUUUGUAUGAGUUGUUAUUAUGAUAGUCGUAUAUUACAAAAUAUUAAAGAAUAUACUAUUCCAAAACAAUUCAUCAAAAUAUUGAAAUUAAUAUACAAAUUGAAAUUAAAUUUAGAUUUGUUUUCUAUUUAUACAAAAACCAUUUUAUUACAAAGUUGUACCCCAUUUUGUAAAACUAUCAAGAGCUUAUAAAAUAAAUUAUUAGAUUCACCACU
Molecule: long non-coding RNA, 3258 nt
Filed under: Acyrthosiphon pisum (pea aphid)
Lineage: Eukaryota; Metazoa; Arthropoda; Insecta; Hemiptera; Aphididae
Description: uncharacterized LOC115033796
Source: RNAcentral